RNAcentral lists this small RNA (545 nucleotides) under Pan troglodytes (chimpanzee). RNAcentral describes it as "processed transcript". Lineage: Eukaryota; Metazoa; Chordata; Mammalia; Primates; Hominidae. The record is from RNAcentral.
GGAGAAUGACAGGAUGACGGCGCGGGGGAAGUCAGAAAAAUGGGUAAGAAGAGUCGAGUAAAAACUCAGAAAUCUGGCACUGGUGCUACAGCCACUGUGUCACCAAAGGAAAUCUUGAACCUGACCAGUGAGCUGCUGCAGAAAUGCAGCAGUCCGGCGCCUGGCCCAGGAAAAGAGUGGGAAGAGUAUGUGCAGAUCCGGACUCUAGUUGAGAAAAUACGGAAAAAGCAAAAAGGCAGAAGAAUUGUUUUUAUGGGUUCCACGAAAAUUGCUAAUGACUGUUGAAUCUGCUAAAAAUUCAGUGUUGGGGCCCUUAUAUUCUCAAGACCGAAUCCUUCAAGCCAUGGGAAACAUCGCACUGGCCUUUCAUUUGCUGUGUGAGCGAGCCAGCCCUAACUCCUUCUGGCAGCCCUAUAUUCAAACCCUCCCCAGUGAAUAUGACACUCCUCUCUACUUUGAAGAAGAUGAAGUUCGGUAUCUUCAGUCCACACAAGCUAUACAUGAUGUCUUCAGCCAGUAUAAAAACACAGCUCGACAGUACGCCU